This 174-nucleotide ribosomal RNA is filed under the name uncultured bacterium. RNAcentral's name for it is "partial 16S ribosomal RNA". It matches the Rfam family "Bacterial small subunit ribosomal RNA", at positions 338 to 524 of the family's 1533-position model. The record is from RNAcentral.
CCUAGGGGAGGCAGCAGUAGGGAAUAUUGGGCAAUGGGCGCAAGCCUGACCCAGCGACGCCGCGUGAGGGAUGAAGGUCUUCGGAUUGCAAACCUCUUUCAGUAGGGAAGAAGCGAAAGUGACGGUACCUAAAGAAGAAGCACCGGCUAACUAUGUGCCAGCAGCCGCGGUAAU